This 24-nucleotide non-coding RNA is filed under the name Drosophila melanogaster (fruit fly). The record is from RNAcentral. Lineage: Eukaryota; Metazoa; Arthropoda; Insecta; Diptera; Drosophilidae.
UUAUUAAUAAGCUUGUUAGGUUGC